This 512-nucleotide ribosomal RNA is filed under the name Saturnispora sp. LCF-01. Its description in RNAcentral is "eukaryotic LSU rRNA". It matches the Rfam family "Eukaryotic large subunit ribosomal RNA", at positions 89 to 650 of the family's 3401-position model. The record is from RNAcentral. Lineage: Eukaryota; Fungi; Ascomycota; Pichiomycetes; Pichiales; Pichiaceae.
GCGAGUGAAGCGGCAAAAGCUCCACUUUGAAAGCGUUUCGGCGCGUUGUAGUGUGGUUCAGUCUUUGAAUUUGGGGAAACUAAGUCCUUUGGAACAAGGCGCCAUAGAGGGUGAGAGCCCCGUGAGUUUCCCUUUACUAUUCUCCAAGUCUGUACCGAAGAGUCGAGUUGUUUGGGAAUGCAGCUCUAAGUGGGUGGUAAAUUCCAUCUAAGGCUAAAUAUUGGCGAGAGACCGAUAGCGAACAAGUACAGUGAUGGAAAGAUGAAAAGCACUUUGAAAAGAGAGUGAAACAGUACGUGAAAUUGUUGAAAGGGAAGGGUAUUUGGCUCGACAUGGGUCCUGUGCACCGUUGCCUCUUGUAGGCGGCGCUCUGCUGGGGCCUGGGCCAGCAUCAGUUUUCUGGCGGGGAUAAGGCCUUGUGAACUACAAUGUAGGGAUCGGGGCGAUGCCCGCACGGGGGACUGAGGACUGCCGUUAUUGUAGGAUGCUGGCAUAACGGCCAAAUACCGCCC